This 433-nucleotide ribosomal RNA is filed under the name uncultured bacterium. RNAcentral describes it as "partial 16S ribosomal RNA". It matches the Rfam family "Bacterial small subunit ribosomal RNA", at positions 29 to 507 of the family's 1533-position model. The record is from RNAcentral.
AACGAACGCUGGCGGCAUGCCUAACACAUGCAAGUCGAACGAGACCUUCGGGUCUAGUGGCGCACGGGUGCGUAACGCGUUGGAACCUGCCCUUAGGUUCGGAAUAACUCCCCGAAAAGCGUGCUAAUACCGGGUAAUAUCUCCGGACCGAACAUUUGUCGACUUUGGAUGGGCCCGCGUUGGAUUGGCUUGUUGGUAGGGUAAACGCCUACCAAGGCGACGAUCGAUAGCUGGUCUGAGAGGAUGAGCAGCCACACUGGGACUGAGACACGGCCCAGACUCCUGCGGGAGGCAGCAGUGGGGAAUCUUGGACAAUGGCGGAAAGCCUGAUCCAGCUAUGCCGCGUGAGUGAUGAAGGCCUUAGGGUUGUAAAGCUCGUUUACCCGGGAUGAUAAUGACAGUACCGGGAGAAUAAGCUCCGGCUAACUCCGUG